CAGGGUAUAGCUAAAUAGUAUAGUGUCUCCCUUACACUGAGAAGUCAUCUGUGCAAAUCAGAUUACCCUGA
RNAcentral lists this transfer RNA (71 nucleotides) under Gerres decacanthus (small Chinese silver-biddy). Its description in RNAcentral is "tRNA-Val". It matches the Rfam family "tRNA". From Rfam's summary of the family: Transfer RNA (tRNA) molecules are approximately 80 nucleotides in length. The record is from RNAcentral. Lineage: Eukaryota; Metazoa; Chordata; Actinopteri; Gerreiformes; Gerreidae.